Molecule: ribosomal RNA, 253 nt
Filed under: uncultured bacterium
Lineage: Bacteria
Description: partial 16S ribosomal RNA
Rfam family: Bacterial small subunit ribosomal RNA
Source: RNAcentral
UACAGAGGGUGCGAGCGUUGUUCGGAAUUAUUGGGCGUAAAGGGCGCGUAGGCGGUGCGGGAAGUCACCUGUGAAAUCUCCUGGCUCAACUGGGAGCUUGCAGGCGAAACUGCCGUGCUGGAGUGUGGGAGAGGUGCGUGGAAUUCCUGGUGUAGCGGUGAAAUGCGUAGAUAUCAGGAGGAACACCUGUGGCGAAAGCGGCGCACUGGACCACAACUGAUGCUGAGGCGCGAAAGCUAGGGGAGCAAACAGG